UGGGAGAGCGUCAGACUGAAGAUCUGAAGGUCGCGUGUUCGAUCCACGCUCACCGCAUCCUUUGCCGUUUUUGGUUUUUAGCUUUUUAGCUCUCUUUGUACAGCGGCCAGACACCGGAUGCUUUCCGGCUGAAAUGACCGUCGUACUGUCCCUUCCCUAAAUGAUAACAUCUUACCCACCGCUCGGGUCAGAAAAUAACGUAUAUGCUCUCACCGCCGCUGCACAGUGUUAAAUAAGAUCUGCGGAACUAGAUUAUUAGUUAUCUUGGUAUUGGAUGAUGUAAAGAUUCUACAUCAGCCCCUAAGAAGACUUAAGGGUUCUUUAAAGGGCUUGAGGUGGCAAAGAAAACCUGUGAAAGCUAUAUGGGCAAGCAACUGUGGAGUUCUCAAAGAAGUUAGUGAACCAGUUGGUAUAAACUAUGGCUUGUUGAUGAGGUGGCGUUUCAUAUGAAGUGACAUGCACCAACUGUUUGUGUGAGGAGUGGUUAGACAUCUCACUUGAAGCUAAAAAUAUGAUCAGGUACUGGUAUGUAAUAUUUUGAUUGAAUGAUUAAUUUACUAUUCUGAGUAGUAUUAGUUUUAUCUAUUGUUAUUUAUUAGCGGAUUUCCUUAGGUAGUGUUUGGGAGCAUGGAUUUCGGACAUUAAAUUUGGAUUUGGACAAAUUUUAAUACAAUUUUAUUGAACAUCUUAUCUAAA
This is a long non-coding RNA of Malania oleifera, 696 nucleotides long. RefSeq lists it as uncharacterized. The record is from RefSeq and is a predicted model, not a curated record. Lineage: Eukaryota; Viridiplantae; Streptophyta; Magnoliopsida; Santalales; Ximeniaceae. The transcript is spliced from 3 exons.